UACAGAGGGUGCAAACGUUGCUCGGAAUCAUUGGGCGUAAAGCGCACGUAGGCGGCCAUCUAAGUCAGACGUGAAAUCCCCCGGCUUAACCUGGGAACUGCGUCUGAUACUGGAAGGCUUGAGUAUGGGAGAGGGAUGUAGAAUUCCAGGUGUAGCGGUGAAAUGCGUAGAUAUCUGGAGGAAUACCGGUGGCGAAGGCGGCAUCCUGGACCAUUACUGACGCUGAGGCGCGAAAGCUAGGGGAGCAAACGGG
This 253-nucleotide ribosomal RNA is filed under the name uncultured bacterium. RNAcentral describes it as "partial 16S ribosomal RNA". It matches the Rfam family "Bacterial small subunit ribosomal RNA", at positions 524 to 776 of the family's 1533-position model. The record is from RNAcentral.